RNAcentral lists this long non-coding RNA (925 nucleotides) under Manacus vitellinus (golden-collared manakin). Its description in RNAcentral is "lncRNA (ENSMVIG00005015410.1)". Lineage: Eukaryota; Metazoa; Chordata; Aves; Passeriformes; Pipridae. The record is from RNAcentral.
CCUGGUCACAGAAGAUGGAGCAGUGAGGGCUGAGGCUGUUGGGCAGGUCAGAGUCUGAUGUUGCCUGCAGUGCAUCACUUUUUCACUGCUGUUGCCCCAUGAAGGUCUGAGAUCAUGGAAAGGAGGUGACGCACAGCGCCUGCCUCUGUGAUUCCGUGCCUGCCUUUCAUCCUGCUCCGUGUACGGCUCCAAGCCGGCACGAGUUCCUCCAAAACACCACAGAUGCUGCUACAGAAACUGGUCCUGGCUGUGGAUGCACAAACACCGUAGACCUCGCAAGCCCUUCCUGGAGUGUGUCAUCUGGAGACCUGAGUAACAGGGAAAGCAUGAAGGAUGUCUUUGGGGUAGCAGUGCUUUCCGAGACUCUGUCCUCCCACUACACUCACUUUCUACCUUUGGUGUGAGGGAAUAAGAGGGAACAUGAAGAAGAUUACGAUGUGUUAGGGAGAUGAGUCUUUGAUGGGAAGUCUCCCCAUGGCAGGAAUUGGAUCAUCCAAAGGCCUCCAAGUGAAGACUCUUCCUGCAGAAAUCAGAGAUACCAACUCGAGCAGUGUGAUGAACUGAAUUGGAACCAACCACUCUCAGCUGGUAUUCACACUAAUCCUUGGACACACCAAAUAGGCUGGAGUCCCAGUGUGACACAUCUUACAAGUAAGAGGAAGUGCUUGCCUGAAGAAGAUAAUGGUCUAAAAAUUAAAGAAAGAAGAAAAAAAAAAAAAAAGAAAGCCUUAUAUUCCACAUGGUCACAUGUGGGAAUUCAAAUUCAUGUUGGAUGACAGAUCCUGUGUUGCUCCUGAAGUCUCUGCUAAUCUCUAAUCCCAAUAAUCAAAAUCGUUGCCUCAAGCCCCAUCUCACAUUUAAGUGCUCCACGCUUGCUGUUUUCUUUCUUUAACAGGUAGAAUAAUGAGUAUUUCUUGAAUGUUGC